This 402-nucleotide ribosomal RNA is filed under the name uncultured bacterium. Its description in RNAcentral is "bacterial SSU rRNA". It matches the Rfam family "Bacterial small subunit ribosomal RNA", at positions 355 to 774 of the family's 1533-position model. The record is from RNAcentral.
UGGGGAAUAUUGGACAAUGGGUGUAAACCUGAUCCAGCCAUGCCGCGUGAGUGAUGACGGCCUUCGGGUUGUAAAGCUCUUUUAGAUGGGAAGAUAAUGACGGUACCAUCAGAAUAAGCACCGGCUAACUUCGUGCCAGCAGCCGCGGUAAUACGAAGGGUGCAAGCGUUAUCCGGAAUUACUGGGUGUAAAGGGUGAGUAGGCGGCAUAGUAAGUCAUAUGUGAAAGCCCGCAGCUUAACUGCGGAGUUGCAUGAGAAACUAUUGAGCUAGAGUGCAGGAGAGGCAAGCGGAAUUCCUAGUGUAGCGGUGAAAUGCGUAGAUAUUAGGAAGAACUCCAAUUGCGAAGGCAGCUUGCUGGACUGUAACUGACGCUGAUGCUCGAAAGUGUGGGUAUCAAACA